AGAUAUUCCACUAGUGAUAGACACCUUCCACAACAAACUGCAGUGAACAUGUCUUAUGGACCUAAAAGCCCGAUCAGGGUGUUGACCUUGGCCACGUCAAUGUCAUAGUGCGUCAUCACAGCCUGUUGGAUCUGGUGCUUGUUGGCCUUGACAUCCACAAUGAACACAAGUGUGUUGUUGUCUUCAGUCUUCAUGGCUGACUCAGUGGUCAGGAGGAACUUGAUGACAGCCUAGUGGUCAAGCUUGUUUCUCCUGGGAGCACUCUUCUGAGGGUAUUUGGGCUGUCUUGGGCCACUGGAAGGUUGGAGAAACGGGGGAGGAGAGUGAAAGGGAUUUUCCAGGCUCUGUUUAACUCUGUCCUGCUGAGUGACAUCACCCAUCAUUACUAGGAACUUCAUUGGAGUUGCCAGCUUGCUGCCUGCCCUAUGAAAUUUGGACUCGUGCAU
This is a long non-coding RNA of Choloepus didactylus (southern two-toed sloth), 446 nucleotides long. RefSeq lists it as uncharacterized. Lineage: Eukaryota; Metazoa; Chordata; Mammalia; Pilosa; Megalonychidae. The record is from RefSeq and is a predicted model, not a curated record. The transcript has 4 exons.